RNAcentral lists this transfer RNA (66 nucleotides) under Cyrtophora moluccensis. RNAcentral describes it as "tRNA-Gly". The record is from RNAcentral. Lineage: Eukaryota; Metazoa; Arthropoda; Arachnida; Araneae; Araneidae.
AACUAUAUAGUAUAUUAGUACAUUUGAUUUCCAAUUAAAAAGAAGAAAAAUUUAUUUUUUUAUUUU